GGGGAAUCUUGCGCAAUGGGCGAAAGCCUGACGCAGCAACGCCGCGUGAGCGAUGAAGGUCUUUGGAUCGUAAAGCUCUUUCGGCAGGGAAGAAACGCCCGGUGGCCAAUACCCAUCGGGUUUGACGGUACCUGCAGAAGAAGCACCGGCUAACUCUGUGCCAGCAGCCGCGGUAAUACAGAGGGUGCAAGCGUUGUUCGGAAUUAUUGGGCGUAAAGCGAGUGUAGGCGGGACCGUAUGUCGGGUGUGAAAGCCCUCGGCUCAACCGAGGAAGUGCGCCCGAAACUGCGGUUCUUGAGUGUCGGAGAGGGUGGCGGAAUUCCCGGUGUAGAGGUGAAAUUCGUAGAUAUCGGGAGGAACACCAGAGGCGAAGGCGGCCACCUGGACGAACACUGACGCUGAGACUCGAAAGCGUGGGGAGCAAAC
This 426-nucleotide ribosomal RNA is filed under the name uncultured bacterium. RNAcentral's name for it is "bacterial SSU rRNA". It matches the Rfam family "Bacterial small subunit ribosomal RNA", at positions 356 to 773 of the family's 1533-position model. The record is from RNAcentral.